CAAGAUCCAUCCACCAAAAGUCUACAAAUAGAGGGAUACACACCAGAGGAAGCUGAGGGCCGCUGCAAGUCUUCGAGGUUGUCUAGGAGAUGGCUUAGGCUAGACCCAAGCCGCCGUGAUCGUCCCUGCACGGCGAAGCCAUGGUGGAGUUCUGGAGCCGAGCCUUGUGAUCAUCAAGGCUUAUGUACACACGAUGGUGAUAUCAAUAUAAUCUUGUGCGUACUUUGAUCUACUAUGAUGCAUGCUUAUUCUCAUAUGUAUAGCUAGCAUGUGUUCUUAGUAGGAAUAGAUGUAAUUGUGGUGAUUAGGCUAUAUCUUGCGGAUACAUCUUAGUACUACGUAGGAAGUCGGUGUGAUUACCUUCGUGUGGUGACAGCAUGCGGGAAAGGAAAGGUUGAACGAUUGCGUAAUGUUGAGUAGGAUCAAUGGCGAGUAUUGUGGGAGUCAUUUGAGGUAAAGCUUUGGGAAACUGAAGGUGUUAACACGCACCUCGUAAUGGUGACCACAAGAAAGUAAUGGUGACCACAAGAAAGUAGGCCGCUUGCGAGCCGCCUUUCUGAGAGAUGACUCUUUAUCAAGGUGCUACAUAGAUUGGUUACCAUUUUGGCUGGAACUAUAACAAGAAGAUAAUAGACUUAUGCUACAUUUGGUUGUGUUACCUCAUAUAUGGAUAUGAUCUGUUUACCCUAUAUAUAUUACUUAUCUCAUGAUUGGGUUUACCUUUAUAUGCAAUUCAUGCUUCAUGAUAGGAUUAGAUCUAUUUAGCUAGAUAGAGAACCCUAGUCAGUUCGCUGCUGAUCCACGGAUUGAUGAAUCUUGGAUGCAAUACUCUAAUGGAAAAGCUACGAUGAUCCGUGUGCUUGCGGUUCACAACUUGGCAUGUUAACUACAUCAACAGAGGCACAUGGAAAUAGGAGGAAUAUGCAGCGAAUUGAGGGCUAAUUUGUGUGGUCUGAUGAGUGUGCAAAAGAAAGUUUGUUUCAAUCUCCUCUUGUCUCUCCCUAUGAAACUCAUCUAUCUUCUCUUGCAGAGACAUUGGAAUGGGCAUUCUUCGUAAUAUGUAACUGUCACUAGGAAGAUUCGAUUCUUUCUUCUCCUUCUGUAAUAGAUGUACCUGGAUAGAGGAUCCACUCAUAUACUUAGUGCUUACUCUUGAUGUCUUAAAGCAAAACUAAACUAAUAGUUGGUUGAUUUUGACAAAUCAUUAUAUCUCUAUUCUCCACAUCAUAGAAUAGGAUAAAACAUUGCAAGCCAACAUAAAACAAAGAACAAGAUAAAAGAUAUGAUGGAACAAUCACCUAUAGAAAGUACUUGAGACAAUAGUUAGAGAAUGUACCUUAAACGAUUACUACUAUGAAAGCACUAAAUAAUCAGAAAUAUUGGUGAUAGAUGAUAAUGGGUACUAUAUGUAUUGGUUUAUAUAGGAAACCAAGGGGCUCAAAAGUUAUAAGGGAACCUACGUUAACGUUCAAAACAAAUUAUAGAAAAUGAAAAAAAGAAAGACCUUGAUGAUUGUUUAUUUAUUACUUGUCGGUUUCUUCCUGCCCUUUUUAGCCGUGCAUGCAUCUUUUCCACCGUUGUAUUGAGGUGCAUUAGGGGCCUCAUCUUUUUGAACCAUACAUUCUGUAUAUUUUAUGACAAAAACGUUGGAAGUAACCCAAUGUUAUCACGCGUUCAUGUAUGAGCAUACACUUGAUGCUAUCCAUGCACCUUUGCUUUUAUAUCCUAUUAGUGUGUUUGUCAUUUACCAUUUUUUAUUCUUAUCUAUAAAAGGUGCUUGGAUAAAGAUGGAUGGAGUGUCAAACAACUUUGUGGUUCUUAUGGAUGUUACUUGUGUCCUUCCAUAUGACAACUAAGACAAAGUUGGUGUACAAGCCAUGUGUAUGUUUCAUGUGGUCCUACGUGAAGCCAACUUUCGUGCAAGCUAUAAACACUUUCAAAACUACCUUUAGUUGAUUUUUCAUUGCUAGAGUGGGUGUCCAUUUGUGGUGUAAAGGUAUAUCUCUGAUUCAUUGCUUCAUCAUUUUAUCCUUUCCUAGGACUUGUACCUUCUACUUUGUAUACUUGAUUUUUCAUUGUAAUGUUCCUUGACUUGAUAAACAAUGACAUGGCUGGAUAAAUAUGUGGAUCUUAGUUUGU
This 2139-nucleotide long non-coding RNA is filed under the name Setaria viridis. RNAcentral's name for it is "long non-coding RNA (SVIR_LNC003612)". Lineage: Eukaryota; Viridiplantae; Streptophyta; Magnoliopsida; Poales; Poaceae. The record is from RNAcentral.